RNAcentral lists this ribosomal RNA (275 nucleotides) under uncultured bacterium. Its description in RNAcentral is "partial 16S ribosomal RNA". It matches the Rfam family "Bacterial small subunit ribosomal RNA", at positions 79 to 353 of the family's 1533-position model. The record is from RNAcentral.
AAACUGGAGAUGGCGACCGGCGCACGGGUGAGUAACACGUAUCCAACCUGCCGAUAACUCGGGGAUAGCCUUUCGAAAGAAAGAUUAAUACCCGAUGGCAUAGUUCUUCCGCAUGGUAGAACUAUUAAAGAAUUUCGGUCAUCGAUGGGGAUGCGUUCCAUUAGGUUGUUGGCGGGGUAACGGCCCACCAAGCCUUCGAUGGAUAGGGGUUCUGAGAGGAAGGUCCCCCACAUUGGAACUGAGACACGGUCCAGACUCCUACGGGAGGCAGCAUG